This 449-nucleotide ribosomal RNA is filed under the name uncultured bacterium. RNAcentral's name for it is "partial 16S ribosomal RNA". It matches the Rfam family "Bacterial small subunit ribosomal RNA", at positions 29 to 523 of the family's 1533-position model. The record is from RNAcentral.
AAUGAACGCUGGCGGCAGGCCUAACACAUGCAAGUCGAACGGAUCCUUCGGGAUUAGUGGCGGACGGGUGAGUAACGCGUGGGAACAUACCCUUUGGUACGGAAUAGCCUCGGGAAACUGGGAGUAAUACCGCAUGUGGUCGAGAGACGAAAGAUUUAUCGCCAAAGGAUUGGCCCGCGUUGGAUUAGGUAGUUGGUGGGGUAAUGGCCUACCAAGCCGACGAUCCAUAGCUGGUUUGAGAGGAUGAUCAGCCACACUGGGAUUGAGACACGGCCCAGACUCCUACGGGAGGCAGCAGUGGGGAAUCUUAGACAAUGGGGGAAACCCUGAUCUAGCCAUGCCGCGUGAUCGAUGAAGGCCUUAGGGUUGUAAAGAUCUUUCAGGUGGGAAGAUAAUGACUGUACCACCAGAAGAAGCCCCGGCUAACUCCGUGCCAGCCGCCGCAGUAA